RNA transcript from Drosophila elegans, 1547 nucleotides. It is a transcript of the gene named putative RNA polymerase II subunit B1 CTD phosphatase RPAP2 homolog, with no coding region annotated. The transcript is spliced from 6 exons. Lineage: Eukaryota; Metazoa; Arthropoda; Insecta; Diptera; Drosophilidae. The record is from RefSeq and is a predicted model, not a curated record.
UAUCGACCAUCUCAAUUGCAAAUUUGGGCAAAUCACGCAAAAUGACGACGGAAAAGGGCGACCAACUGCGGCAACAACUAAUAGCGGCGGUGGUGAAGAAGCGAGCGGCGAUUGCGCGGGCUCAUGAAAUCGUGGUGCGGCUUUUGGAGCCCGGAAUACCGGAGCCCGAGUUCCUGUCCAUGCUAUGGGAGAUUGGCCCCCCAAAUUAUUCAGACAUCGUAGAUGAGCGAGAAAUAAACAAACUGUGUGGAUAUCCGCCGUGUUCCAGCGUUCUAGAAAAUAUUCCCAAGCAAAAAUACAGCAUUAGUGCUUCCAAAAACAAGGUUUACGACCUGACCGAGCGCAAGAAAUUCUGUUCUGGAUAUUGUUUUAAGGCCUCCGAGUACAUUAAGUCCCAGGUGCCCACAUCACCAUUGUGGCUGCGAGAUCGGGAGACGAGACCCAGCUUUCAGCUGCUGCCUCGAGAUUAAAAUCCAAUUUAAAUAAAAGUUUUUUCGUUACACUCACCACAUAAAGGCAAUAUGCAAAUUUUAAACAAAAAACACUCAAAAAAUGUUAAACAAAAACAAAUGAAUGCAAAUUAAAAAGCACGAGAAAAAGCCAAAAAACAAAUAACAACAGCAGCAGCAACAAUGUGUUCAUAACUAUUAAAACGGAAAUUAAAAAUAAAAGCAAAGGCUUAAAGUAACGCAUUAUGUUAAACCGAAACCAAACUCAUCUGAAUCUCUACUUUCGCAUCCAUGUUUCUGCAUAAGUAUCUGCAUCUGCACCCGUACCCGCAUCCGUAUCUGUAUCCGUAUCUUUGCAUCUGCUGAGCGAAUGAGACGAAGCUGGAAACAUGCCAGCUAAAUUGCAAUCCAAAACCCAGAAUCAAUACAUCAAUCAGUCCAGCAAGCAACCAAUCAAGCAAUUCCAUCAUCAAUUUGCAACUGCCAUCAACUCAUCAUCAAUAACAACUGCAACCAGUACUGCAACAACAAUCCCAACCUAAAUGCCAAAAAUUAAAUGCACCCAACUAAAGCAAAUAAACUUAAAUAAAUCUAACCAAUAAACCUAAAAAAUAGCUUAACACCCACUCGACGGCGAACGAAGAGAGAGCAAAAUUAAAUUUGCAUAUUAAUUAUGGAACAUUCAUCAACAAUUUUGUUGUGUUUGUUCCAUUGCCAAAACAAAAAGGUCGCCGAUUGUUUGCAGCUGCAGCAACAAGAACCACAGCAACAACGACCACUGGGAAAUCCGACAACAACUAGAAGACCAACAACUACAGCAACCGAAGCAGCAACCGAAGCAGUAACAGAAGCAGCAACAGAAGCAACAACAUCAGCAACCCAGCAGCAACUUCUUGGACAGCAGCAACUUUUAGCUUCAUUUCGACAAAAUUGCUGGAUAACAUCUAACAACUGAACGAAACAACGAUACUCAAGUGUACUAAAAAGAAUAAGGAUCACCAUUAAUAGAAAAUCAACCAGAACAACAACAACUGCUACCUAAGGUUUCUCAAACUCUAAAAGUAAAUAACUCAAAAAGCAAAAAAAAAAAAAACAAAC